CUCUGGAGCAAUACCACUUUGGGUUACAAUCUCAUCAGAAAUCACAAACCAAACAGUGCUGGGCCUGGUCAGUAUUUGAAUAGGAGACCUCUGAGAAAAACCCAGAUGCUGCAAGGA
Molecule: ribosomal RNA, 117 nt
Organism: Chrysemys picta bellii (western painted turtle)
Lineage: Eukaryota; Metazoa; Chordata; Testudines; Emydidae
Source: Ensembl